AUUGAACGCUGGCGGCAGGCCUAACACAUGCAAGUCGAACGAGUGGCGGACGGGUGAGUAAUGUCUGGGAAACUGCCCGAGGGAGGGGGAUACCUACUGAAACCGUUAGCUAAUACCGCAUACAUUCGGAUGUCCCCAGCUGGGAUUAGCUUGUAGGUGGGGUAACGGCUCACCUAGGCGACCAUCCCUAGCUGGUCUGAGAGGAUGACCAGCCACACUGGAACUGAGCCACGGUCCAGACGCCUACGGGAGGCAGCAGUGGGGAAUAUUGCACAAUGGGCGCAAGCCUGAUGCAGCCAUGCCGCGUGUAUGAAGAAGGCCUUCGGGUUGUAAAGUACUUUCAGCGGGGAGGCGUUACCCGCAGAAGAAGCACCGGCUAACUCCGUGCCAGCCGCCGCGGUAAUUC
RNAcentral lists this ribosomal RNA (406 nucleotides) under uncultured bacterium. Its description in RNAcentral is "partial 16S ribosomal RNA". It matches the Rfam family "Bacterial small subunit ribosomal RNA", at positions 30 to 526 of the family's 1533-position model. The record is from RNAcentral.